This is a long non-coding RNA of Vidua chalybeata, 701 nucleotides long. RefSeq lists it as uncharacterized. NCBI's taxonomy places the organism in Eukaryota, Metazoa, Chordata, Aves, Passeriformes, Viduidae. The record is from RefSeq and is a predicted model, not a curated record. The transcript is spliced from 3 exons.
UGUCACCAAAGCUGAGCCUGCAGAACAGAAAUGUCACCAAAGCUGAGCCUAAUGAACAGAAAUGUCACCAAAGCUGAGCCUGCAGAACAGAAAUGUCACCAAAGCUGAGCCUAAUGAACGGAAAUGUCACCAAAGCUGAGCUUAAUGAACAGAAAUGUCACCAAAGCUGAGCCUAAUGAACGGAAAUGUCACCAAAGCUGAGCCUGCAGAACAGAAAUGUCCCUGAACUCGAGCCUCUCGGGGCUGGGCAGAGAUUUACCCCUGACCAGCGUGUCUGGCCUCAGCUGGGGGUUGGAUUGGCAGAAAUUCCCUUUUUCCCCCUGGCAUUCCACAUCCAUUCCCAAAAAGCUGCUGCCAGGCCAGGAAGGGAAGCAAGGCAUGGUUUGGGCCAGACAAUGACAGGAAUGUCCCCAGAAAAAAGAGAGGAUUCAAUAAAUGGGGAUUUUAGUGGAUUUCAUCCCCAGCUCUUGGAUCCCCUUUCCCACAGCCUGAGGACACAAAGAUUUGUUUCAGCACGAUUUGAGGAGCAAAGAUUCCCAGACUGAACAGAUUUGCUGUUAUUCCUUGUGGCAGGAUGAGGGCUGCCCACGUGAGGUGGUUUGGAUGGCUGGAAAAUCCUGGAAGUGCCCCAGGAGCAGAAGUGCAGGAGGACAAGGAGUGUUCUCAGCCCCAAAUGCUCGGCCCAGGCCGAGGGCACUGCA